Molecule: ribosomal RNA, 537 nt
Filed under: uncultured bacterium
Lineage: Bacteria
Description: bacterial SSU rRNA
Rfam family: Bacterial small subunit ribosomal RNA
Source: RNAcentral
ACGGGUGAGUAACGCGUGGGAAUCUACCCUGAACUGCGGAAUAGCUCCGGGAAACUGGAAUUAAUACCGCAUGUGUCCUGAGGGGCAAAGAUUUAUCGGUUCAGGAUGAGCCCGCGUCCGAUUAGCUAGUUGGUGGGGUAAAGGCCUACCAAGGCGACGAUCGGUAGCUGGUCUAAGAGGAUGAUCAGCCACAUUGGGACUGAGACACGGCCCAAACUCCUACGGGAGGCAGCAGUGGGGAAUAUUGGACAAUGGGCGCAAGCCUGAUCCAGCCAUGCCGCGUGAGUGAUGAAGGCCCUAGGGUUGUAAAGCUCUUUCAGUGGGGACGAUAAUGACGGUACCCACAGAAGAGGCCCCGGCUAACUUCGUGCCAGCAGCCGCGGUAAUACGAAGGGGGCUAGCGUUGUUCGGAAUUACUGGGCGUAAAGCGCACGUAGGCGGACAUUUAAGUCAGGGGUGAAAUCCCGGGGCUCAACCCCGGAACUGCCUUUGAUACUGGGUGUCUUGAGUUCGGAAGAGGUGAGUGGAAUUGCGAGU